UGCCUCUGUGGUGGAUAGUGGAGUGUUUCCCAUGUGGUAUUGGUGUGCUGUAUAUCCCUUCCCUGGUAGCCUGGUAACAUACACUCCCAGGUCUUUCUCUGCCUCUGUAGUGGAUAGUGGAGUGUUUCCCAUGUGGUAUUGGUGUGCUGGAUAUCCCUUCACUGGUAGCCUGGUAACAUACACUCCCAGGUCCUUCUCUGCCUCUGUGGUGGAUAGUGGAGUGUUUCCCAUGUGGUAUUGGUGUGCUGGAUAUCCCUUCACUGGUAGCCUGGUAACAUACACUCCCAGGUCUUUCUCUGCCUCUGUGGUGGAUAGUGGAGUGUUUCCCAUGUGGUAUUGGUGUGCUGGAUAUCCCUUCACUGGUAGCCUGGUAACAUACACUCCCAGGUCUUUCUCUGCCUCUGUGGUGGAUAGUGGAGUGUUUCCCAUGUGGUAUUGGUGUGCUGGAUAUCCCUUCACUGGUAGCCUGGUAACAUACACUCCCAGGUCUUUCUCUGCCUCUGUGGUGGAUAGUGGAGUGUUUCCCAUGUGGUAUUGGUGUGCUGGAUAUCCUCUCCCAAGGUGCAGGA
Long non-coding RNA from Eriocheir sinensis (Chinese mitten crab), 569 nucleotides. RefSeq lists it as uncharacterized. The transcript is spliced from 2 exons. The record is from RefSeq and is a predicted model, not a curated record. Lineage: Eukaryota; Metazoa; Arthropoda; Malacostraca; Decapoda; Varunidae.